GCGGUGGUAGCUCAGUUGGUUAGAGUAUCGGCCUGUCACGCCGGGGGUCGCGGGUUCGAGCCCCGUCCGCCGCGCCA
This 77-nucleotide transfer RNA is filed under the name Neisseria meningitidis. RNAcentral describes it as "tRNA-Asp". It matches the Rfam family "tRNA". From Rfam's summary of the family: Transfer RNA (tRNA) molecules are approximately 80 nucleotides in length. Their secondary structure includes four short double-helical elements and three loops (D, anti-codon, and T loops). Further hydrogen bonds mediate the characteristic L-shaped molecular structure. tRNAs have two regions of fundamental functional importance: the anti-codon, which is responsible for specific mRNA codon recognition, and the 3' end, to which the tRNAs corresponding amino acid is attached (by aminoacyl-tRNA synthetases). tRNAs cope with the degeneracy of the genetic code in two manners: having more than one tRNA (with a specific anti-codon) for a particular amino acid; and 'wobble' base-pairing, i.e. permitting non-standard base-pairing at the 3rd anti-codon position. RNAcentral also lists the same sequence under 4 other names. Lineage: Bacteria; Pseudomonadati; Pseudomonadota; Betaproteobacteria; Neisseriales; Neisseriaceae. The record is from RNAcentral.